This 468-nucleotide ribosomal RNA is filed under the name uncultured bacterium. RNAcentral describes it as "partial 16S ribosomal RNA". It matches the Rfam family "Bacterial small subunit ribosomal RNA", at positions 28 to 507 of the family's 1533-position model. The record is from RNAcentral.
GACGAACGCUGGCGGCGUGCUUAACACAUGCAAGUCGAACGGAAAGGCCCUGCUUUUGUGGGGUGCUCGAGUGGCGAACGGGUGAGUAACACGUGAGUAACCUGCCCUUGACUUUGGGAUCACUUCAGGAAACUGGGGCUAAUACCGGAUAGGAGCUCCUGCUGCAUGGUGGGGGUUGGAAAGUUUCGGCGGUUGGGGAUGGACUCGCGGCUUAUCAGCUUGUUGGUGGGGUAGUGGCUUACCAAGGCUUUGACGGGUAGCCGGCCUGAGAGGGUGACCGGCCACAUUGGGCCUGGGAUACGGCCCAGACUCCUACGGGAGGCAGCAGUGGGGAAUAUUGCACAAUGGGCGGAAGCCGGAUGCAGCAACGCCGCGUGCGGGAUGACGGCCUUCGGGUUGUAAACCGCUUUCGCCUGGGACGAAGCGUGAGUGACGGUAAUGGGUAAAGAAGCACCGGCUAACUACAUG